CCAGUCAGUGGUUGUAGACGCGAAACCUUGCGAUCUACCCUUGAGCAGGAUGAAGGUUGGGUAACACCAACUGGAGGUCCGAACGAAUAAGCGUUGAAAAGCUUCUCGAUGACUUGAGGGUAGGGGUGAAAGGCUAAUCAAGCUGGGAAAUAGCUCGUACUCCCCGAAAUGCCUUUAGGGGCAGCGUUGUAAUAAAGAGUCUACUGGAGGUAGAGCUACUGAUUGGAUGCGGGGGCUUCACCGCCUACCAAAUCCUGACAAACUCCGAAUGCCAGUAGUAUGAUUUACAGCAGUGAGCGGCCGGGUGCUAAUGUCCGGUCACAAAAGAGGAACAACUCAGACCAGCAACUAAGGUCCCCAAGAAUAUGCUAAGUUGAUCUAACGAUGUUUUGUUGCAGAGACAGCUAGGAUGUUAGCUUGGAAGCAGCUAUUCAUUCAAAGAGUGCGUAACAGCUCACUAGUCGAGCGACAGAGCGUGGAUAAUAAACGGGCAUCAAGCAUAUCACCGAAGUUCUGGACGCGAAAGCGUGGUAGGGGAGCAUUCCAUCGACGUUGAAGCCGAUCCGUGAGGAUUGGUGGAGUUUAUGGAAAAGCAAAUGUAGGCAUAAGUAACGAUAAUGCGGGAGAGUAACCCGCACACCGCAAGACCAAGGUUUCCUGAUCAACGCUAAUCGGAUCAGGGUUAGUCGGGUCCUAAGGGUAAGCCGAACGGUGAUCUCGAUGGACAAUCGGUUAAUAUUCCGAUACUAACAUACACCUCGAUGGAGAGACGAAGGAACGUAAGUGUCGCCACCUGACGGAAUAGGUGGUUAAAGGGCGUAG
Molecule: ribosomal RNA, 822 nt
Filed under: human gut metagenome
Description: bacterial LSU rRNA
Rfam family: Bacterial large subunit ribosomal RNA
Source: RNAcentral